GAUCAUGGCUCAGGAUGAACGCUAGCUACAGGCUUAACACAUGCAAGUCGAGGGGCAGCAUUUCAGUUUGCUUGCAAACUGGAGAUGGCGACCGGCGCACGGGUGAGUAACNCGUAUCCAACCUGCCGAUAACUCGGGGAUAGCCUUUCGAAAGAAAGAUUAAUACCCGAUGGUAUAAUUAGACCGCAUGGUCUUGUUAUUAAGAAUUUCGGUAUCGAUGGGGAUGCGUUCCAUUAGG
RNAcentral lists this ribosomal RNA (238 nucleotides) under uncultured bacterium. RNAcentral's name for it is "partial 16S ribosomal RNA". It matches the Rfam family "Bacterial small subunit ribosomal RNA", at positions 15 to 245 of the family's 1533-position model. The record is from RNAcentral.